This 129-nucleotide transfer RNA is filed under the name Podospora comata. It matches the Rfam family "tRNA". From Rfam's summary of the family: Transfer RNA (tRNA) molecules are approximately 80 nucleotides in length. Their secondary structure includes four short double-helical elements and three loops (D, anti-codon, and T loops). The record is from RNAcentral. Lineage: Eukaryota; Fungi; Ascomycota; Sordariomycetes; Sordariales; Podosporaceae.
GGCUCAAUGGUCUAGUGGUAUGAUUCGCGCUUCGGGAAUUAAUCUUGAACUUUAAAAAAGUAGAGAAGCCCCAUCAGAGUUUCUGAUGAUGAUUGUGCGAGGUCUCGGGUUCGAAUCCCGAUUGAGCCC